This 420-nucleotide ribosomal RNA is filed under the name uncultured bacterium. RNAcentral describes it as "bacterial SSU rRNA". It matches the Rfam family "Bacterial small subunit ribosomal RNA", at positions 355 to 774 of the family's 1533-position model. The record is from RNAcentral.
UGGGGAAUCUUAGGCAAUGGGGGAAACCCUGACCUAGCCAUGCCGCGUGGAGGAAGACACCCCUAUGGGGCGUAAACUCCUUUUCUGUUGGAAGAAAACUCUGUUCUGCAGAGCGUGACGGUACAACAGGAAUAAGCACCGGCUAACUCCGUGCCAGCAGCCGCGGUAAUACGGAGGGUGCAAGCGUUGUCCGGAAUUACUGGGCGUAAAGGGUGUGUAGGUGGGAUGGCAAGUCAGGGGUGAAAGCCUACGGCUUAACCGUAGAAGUGCCCUUGAAACUGCCAUUCUUGAGUCCUGGAGAGGUCAUUGGAAUUCGUGGUGUAGCGGUGAAAUGCGUAGAUAUCACGAGGAACACCAGCGGCGUAAGCGAAUGACUGGACAGGUACUGACACUGAGGCACGAGAGCGUGGGGAGCAAACA